AUCAUCAUCAUCAUUGCCUUUUUCCCACUAUUUGGGGUUGGCUACACAAAUCAUGUUCCGCCAUUCUGCUCUAUCAAGGGCCAUACCCUCAGGGAAGCCAUAGGUCGCCAUAUCUUUUCUCACUACUUUCAACCAUGUGCUUUUGGGCCUACCCCUUGCCCUUUUUGAGCCUUUCACUUUCCCUUGCACUAUAGAGUACAUAAUAUAUAUUAUAUCAUACUAUUCGACUAUACUAUGCUUCUACAAUAUAUCAUCAUACUAUACCACAUUGUUAUACUAUACUACACGGUUAUACUAUAUUAUAAUGCUAGGAAAUCUAGAUCUUGUAUAACUCAGGACCUCAAUCCUUAAUAGG
This 355-nucleotide long non-coding RNA is filed under the name Amborella trichopoda. RNAcentral describes it as "long non-coding RNA (ATRI_LNC002212)". The record is from RNAcentral. Lineage: Eukaryota; Viridiplantae; Streptophyta; Magnoliopsida; Amborellales; Amborellaceae.